GUAUCCAACUAGAUCAGAACUGGACCAAGGUAUUUUAAUUUAUAGAUCUCAAAUUGGGAUAUUCUAGAUAGGGAAGAAGGUAGAUAGAACCAGACCUUACAGAUCUGUCCUACUGCAGCCUUUCUUGUAGAUCUGUUGAUGGAGAUCUCACCCGCACCUCAAACGACCUCAGAUCAACUCUAGAUCUGACAAAAACUUGUACCAACCUCNN
RNAcentral lists this long non-coding RNA (211 nucleotides) under Elaeis guineensis (African oil palm). RNAcentral describes it as "long non-coding RNA (EGUI_LNC068088)". Lineage: Eukaryota; Viridiplantae; Streptophyta; Magnoliopsida; Arecales; Arecaceae. The record is from RNAcentral.